Long non-coding RNA from Peromyscus californicus insignis, 618 nucleotides. RefSeq lists it as uncharacterized. The record is from RefSeq and is a predicted model, not a curated record. The transcript is spliced from 2 exons. Lineage: Eukaryota; Metazoa; Chordata; Mammalia; Rodentia; Cricetidae.
CCUUGACCAGGUCAGCAUAAGCCCUCUGCACCCACCCCCCGAAGCUCUUAGGGAAGGGGGCGUGGCAGGGGGCAGGGCGUUCUCUCCUCACCGCUUUCUCUCCGAACGUCUUCUGGAUUUCUGAUGGGGGCGCUGCUGAGCGCGGGUGGGAGCCUUUCCCCACUGUGCUGCACUGCCAAGCCGCCCCACCGGGCAAGUAAGACAGGAAGAACGGGGAAGGAGGAGCUCUCGGAUCACAUCCUACCUUACCCCAACUAAAAAGCUAUCUUUCCCAACUUGUUUGGGGCUCAGGGCAAAAUUGGGACAGUCAGGGCGUAUCUGAGAUGCUCUGAGGCAUAACUUCAAGGCCACUUCGCUGCCAGCCUGAUGAACCAAGAUGACAGAGACCUCUGCCUCUGCCUCCACCCCAAAUCAACUGAGGAAUCCUGCCUGCACAGGGAAGGGGAGGGCUGGAGCACACUUCAGCACCGUGGACAACGACUCCCCUUUGGGAUCCAAUCAGCGGCUCCAGUCACAAGAUAAGCCCCUCUUUACAAAUGAGAGGUCCUGGUAGUCUUUUUUCCUACUUCUCAAGUCACGUGUGGAGCUAUCUACAGCGAGGAUGCUGAUGCUCGAUUA